GGGCUGGAACUUGGGAAGAGAAAAGCCUUAAUAAAUGGGCAACCGAUAGGAUAAAGGAGCUGCUUAUGUCAGUUGGCUCCUUGGAGUUCUCCAGUGGCAAAGCAGAAAUAGCAGAAGUGUCCAAAUGUUUUGGUGAUGCAUUUUUGGUGACUGUCAGAAACAAGAAACGAGUUGGUUAUACUUACGAGUUGACAUUGAAAAUCAAAGGUGAGUGGAUUGUCAAAGAGGAGAAAAAGAUGGUCAAGGCUCAUAUUGAUGUCCCAGAGUUUUGUUUUGGUGAGCUAGAAGACUUGCAGGUGUGUUUUCUAUUUCCAUUUGAAUGCUUAGAGGUACAAAAAUGAAUUACAGAAAGUAAUCAAUGUAGGUCCUUCCUCAAAUUUAGAAUGACUAUAGAGAGAAUUUUAUGUAUAUAGGCUUGUCUAUGAUUUGCCACUGUGGCUUUUCCUUUGGUCUUACCCCAUCCAAUGAUUUUUUUCUCCAUCAUCCACUUUAAAGUCAAUAAAUCAAUUUAUUCUCUCUCUCAAAAAAUAAGGGAAGAGGGGGACGGGGGACUAUUAUUUUUUCUGAAGUAGUUUCAAAACAAAAUGAAAAAAAGUUCAUAAAUAUGUAAACCAGAAAUUGUAUUCGUUUGGAAGAUUUACCCAUUUUGAACUAUCGGUGAAUAAAGGUAAAGGUAUAUGAGAGAUAACUUGGAUGAAAUUGUCAAGAAGCAUUUAGCACCCAUGGACCUUUUUGAAAGUAUAGCCUCAAAUCAAGGAAAAUGGAGAAAAUUGAUCAAACCAUAUUGAGAUAUGAAUUUUGGCUAAUUUGAGUGAGUAGUUAAAAAUCAAGGGAAUUUCAUAUUUAGAAAUUAUUGCUUAAACAUUUUAGAAGUGGGAUUUAUUUCCCUCGGGAAUGAAAUUGCAGAAUUUGUGGGUUCUUAGUGUUUUAAUUUUAUAUUUUUAUUGGUUUUAAUGUAUCAACUAGCUAUGCCAAUCAAGCAAAGUCAAUGUUUUAUGUUAAAAGCCAUAUGGUAAUAAAGUGAAAAAGGGCCUAAUUACAUGGGAAUUUGCUUGAUUCCCCCAUUAUCUCACAAAUACUACUCAAAAUUCUUUGAACUGAAUUGGCCAUGUGUUAGAAGGAUGUACCUAUUCAUUUAGGAGAUAUUUUCUCCAAAAUAUGUAGCAUUUGUUUUAUGUAUCUUUUUCUCCAGUUUAUCCUGUUUAAAGAACCAAAGAAUUUGUUUGUCCCUUUAAUACCAUGAAGUUUCAUUCAUUACCACCUUUAACUUCACCUUUUUACUAAUUUCAUUAAACAUAUAUUUAAGUGCUAUGCAAAGGGGAUGAAACAACUCAUCUUGUGAAAUCAAAUACUUUAGGAAAAAACCAUUUUUGAGCCCUGAAAACUUUGAGAUUCGACUAUUGGGUCACUAUUCUUCAAUUGUGUAUUAUUGAGUUCACGAACUUUCCAAUUUAAGGAUAUCAAGGAUUUAUUUAAUGCCAAAAGCUUUUAGGAAAAUGAGAAGUUUUUAGUUGGUAGCUUAAAAAAUUGCAUUGCUUAAUAGACAUACAAUGAAAGUACCAUAGGCUUGGAAAUGGGGCUUCUCUUUUCUCUAACUUCAAUAAUUUCAAAAGUAAAAAAGUAGUGCAAUUUUUUAAAUGUUUGUAAACAAUUAUUAUCCAAUUUCUGAUUUUUGUAUUGAUAUGGUUAAAUAUGUCUUCGUGUGUUAAUUUGGAAGCACAAAACUCGAAGGAAAAUGCUACACUGCCUGCUGUAUACAUGUUUGAUGUUAAGAUGGACAUAGCCCAAGAUCUUUUUGAAGUGGCAAUAACUGGGUGGCAUGGAGGAAAAAGAUCAAUAUAGUCCUACUCUGACCAAUUUGGGAUUAAGCUUUAGUUGAUGAAGAGUUAGGAAUCUCAGUUUAAUAUCAAUAAAAUCAAAACAAGCAACAAUGAUCAGAAAAUAGAAGAAACUCUGCAAUUUUCAUUAAUGGAUCUGCUCAACCAAGUAACUAAUUACAAGAGUUUCAAUUCGAGCAACCUUAUGAAAAAAGAAAGACUCUCAAGAGAACUUUGCCACAGAGUAACUUACUCUGCGUCAAGCCUAAACAGCUGGAAAUUACACUUUUUUUCCCGUGACCUUUGCAGUAGUCACUACAUCUAUUUAUAGUUUUUUCCUGAUGUUAUCUCAUGGGAAACCAUCCUUUUGCCUUCACCUUUAGUUAGUUACAUAAUAGAAUUCUGGCCAUUUCGCUUUCUGCCGCUCCUGGAAUCUUCUUGUGCCUCUUGGAAUACACACACCAGCCUUUAGGUGCUUUUCCCCAACCUGCUUCCUCGUUUGUUUCCAUGCUCCUAUUAUUGCCACCCUCUAAAGGAACAGUCUUGUCCUCAAGACUGAAAGAUGGAAAUUGACCCCAUAUGUCAUUGGAAUCCAUCGAAGUUGCUUCUUCAGUGGACUUGCCUUGCCAUUGGAUGAAGACCUGUGGAGCUUGGUGCCCAUC
Molecule: unclassified non-coding RNA, 2479 nt
Filed under: Hevea brasiliensis (rubber tree)
Lineage: Eukaryota; Viridiplantae; Streptophyta; Magnoliopsida; Malpighiales; Euphorbiaceae
Source: RNAcentral